This 639-nucleotide ribosomal RNA is filed under the name Lacticaseibacillus rhamnosus. RNAcentral's name for it is "bacterial SSU rRNA". It matches the Rfam family "Bacterial small subunit ribosomal RNA", at positions 394 to 1024 of the family's 1533-position model. The record is from RNAcentral. Lineage: Bacteria; Bacillati; Bacillota; Bacilli; Lactobacillales; Lactobacillaceae.
ACGCCGCGUGAGUGAAGAAGGCUUUCGGGUCGUAAAACUCUGUUGUUGGAGAAGAAUGGUCGGCAGAGUAACUGUUGUCGGCGUGACGGUAUCCAACCAGAAAGCCACGGCUAACUACGUGCCAGCAGCCGCGGUAAUACGUAGGUGGCAAGCGUUAUCCGGAUUUAUUGGGCGUAAAGCGAGCGCAGGCGGUUUUUUAAGUCUGAUGUGAAAGCCCUCGGCUUAACCGAGGAAGUGCAUCGGAAACUGGGAAACUUGAGUGCAGAAGAGGACAGUGGAACUCCAUGUGUAGCGGUGAAAUGCGUAGAUAUAUGGAAGAACACCAGUGGCGAAGGCGGCUGUCUGGUCUGUAACUGACGCUGAGGCUCGAAAGCAUGGGUAGCGAACAGGAUUAGAUACCCUGGUAGUCCAUGCCGUAAACGAUGAAUGCUAGGUGUUGGAGGGUUUCCGCCCUUCAGUGCCGCAGCUAACGCAUUAAGCAUUCCGCCUGGGGAGUACGACCGCAAGGUUGAAACUCAAAGGAAUUGACGGGGGCCCGCACAAGCGGUGGAGCAUGUGGUUUAAUUCGAAGCAACGCGAAGAACCUUACCAGGUCUUGACAUCUUUUGAUCACCUGAGAGAUCAGGUUUCCCCUUCGGG